GCUGGGCGUGGUGGCGCAUGCCUGUAAUCCCAGCUACUCGGGAGGCUGAGGCAGAAGAAUCACUUGAACCCAGGAGGUGGAGGUUGCAGUGAGCCGAGAUUGCACCACUACACUCCAGCCUGGGCAACAGAGUGAGACUCUGUCUCCA
Non-coding RNA from Pan troglodytes (chimpanzee), 148 nucleotides. It matches the Rfam family "Metazoan signal recognition particle RNA". From Rfam's summary of the family: The signal recognition particle (SRP) is a universally conserved ribonucleoprotein. It is involved in the co-translational targeting of proteins to membranes. The eukaryotic SRP consists of a 300-nucleotide 7S RNA and six proteins: SRPs 72, 68, 54, 19, 14, and 9. Lineage: Eukaryota; Metazoa; Chordata; Mammalia; Primates; Hominidae. The record is from Rfam.